Molecule: small nucleolar RNA, 93 nt
Filed under: Oryza punctata
Lineage: Eukaryota; Viridiplantae; Streptophyta; Magnoliopsida; Poales; Poaceae
Description: snoRNA snoZ118
Rfam family: Small nucleolar RNA Z118/Z121/Z120
About the family: This family consists of several snoRNA Z118, Z121 and Z120 sequences which are members of the C/D class of snoRNA which contain the C (UGAUGA) and D (CUGA) box motifs.
Source: Rfam by way of RNAcentral
UCUUUGGUAAGGAUGGUAUCUGAGUAAGGAACCACUUAAAAAUUGCUCCUCACAUGAUUAUAUCCAAUACUGAUCAGAGACUCUGAGCAAAAC